UAGUGAAAUCGUAGACAACGA
Molecule: non-coding RNA, 21 nt
Filed under: Arabidopsis thaliana (thale cress)
Lineage: Eukaryota; Viridiplantae; Streptophyta; Magnoliopsida; Brassicales; Brassicaceae
Source: RNAcentral